GUCGAAAUCAAUUCCGUUUGUUUCGCGUGAAAGUAGACUCACAUAUCUACGUUUCUACACUUUUCGUUCGUCAAACGACCCGUCGACUGUUCGUGCUUCGGAGUCUACGCAGGGUUAGCUGUUUGCCAAGAUCACGUGGAUAAGCAAGCAGUUUAUGAUUUGAAAGCUGGUCCACUCCGAUUCUUUUGAUUCCUCGGAGGUUUUAUUGUUAUUAAACUAGUUUCUGUUUUCAAACUCUUAGACCGCAGUAGAACUAGUUUAUAUAUUACGUUUGUUAUUACAUUGGGAUUGUCGAUUAGACCGAUUAUUUAUUAUUAGCAUGUUUA
Long non-coding RNA from Mercurialis annua (annual mercury), 326 nucleotides. RefSeq lists it as uncharacterized. The record is from RefSeq and is a predicted model, not a curated record. Lineage: Eukaryota; Viridiplantae; Streptophyta; Magnoliopsida; Malpighiales; Euphorbiaceae. The transcript is spliced from 3 exons.